AUGGAGCAAACAAGAGGUACUUCAGUUCCCUUUGCUGGCCACCAGAUUGUAGCUGGACCCCUCAGGGUCGGAGACGAUGGGCAUCAGAGAAGUCCUGCCUGCACCUUUGUGGAGGUGCCUCUCCAAGACUGCCCAGAGCCCCUGCCCAACACUCUGGGACUUGUAGCACAGGCACUCGAGACCCCUCAGAACCUCCCAUGGGUGCCCACCCUGCAGCACUGCCAGGGAACACAUCAGGCCAUCUCUUCAACAAAACUGACCCCAAAGUCAGCCACACAAAAGGCCAAUACGGAAGUGCGCUUCUUCAUCUCCAACUCUGUCCAACUACCUUGUCCAGCCACACUUCCCAGAGAAGCCCCCAACAAACACAGCCAGUGGCAGCGACAAACACAGCCAUGGCCACACAGUCCCUGCACAUGGUUGCUUCCAGCAGGAGCAGGAGCAGGAGCAGUCGCCUGGUUUUCCAGGUGGUUUGAGAAAGCUGAACACCCCUGCCCCCCUCCCAGCAUAGUGUGUGGGUCCUGUGCAGGCCCAGCCACAGGUGCCUGGGCUCCUCUUCUGGCAGUGGCCAGCAGGGGAGCCUUCACGGAGAAAGGCCCAGUGCCCAGAGCACGCGGGACCUUGGAGGACUCUCCUCUCCUGCAGGGAGUCUGCUGUGGACCUGUGGUCGCUUUCUUCCUGUGUCUCUCACUGACUGAUCCAGGUCACCUGCCGAUUCAGAGUGCCACGUGGCCAUGCAGACGUGCAGAAGGUCGGCCAACAGUUAAGAGGCAGGGAAAGCCCAUCUCCCAGGCGUGGUCCACCAUCCAGCCAUUGGGGCCUCUACCACAGCAGCGCAUUCCUCUCUGCUUUAUUGCUGCACAUUUGCUUGAUGUGGCUGAAAUCCUACUACCUCAAAUGGUAACUGCUGUGUUGUCUAUUUUUGCUGCCCUCAAACAGAGGCAUCACAUUCUGUCUUGCGUCUGCCCUGCCAUUUAUAUGGCUUUGGGACACACAGUCCUUCCACAGAACUUGGUGCUGAAAGGUAAAGUAAUACAAGUGACAUUGUUUUGA
RNAcentral lists this long non-coding RNA (1053 nucleotides) under Oryctolagus cuniculus (rabbit). RNAcentral describes it as "lncRNA (ENSOCUG00000034008.1)". The record is from RNAcentral. Lineage: Eukaryota; Metazoa; Chordata; Mammalia; Lagomorpha; Leporidae.